GACGUAGGUGGCGAACGUUAUCCGGAAUUAUUGGGCGUAAAGGGUGCGUAGGCGGCAUGAUAAGUUAUUGGCGGCAAAUCGAGGCUCAACCUCGUGGAAACUGAUAAUACUGUCUUGCUUGAGUGCAGAAGAGGUUAACGGAACUCCAUGUGGAGCGGUAAAAUGUGUAGAUAUAUGGAAGAACAUCAAUAACGGCGAAGGCAGUUAACUAUUCUGUUACUGACGUUGAGGCACGAAAGCGUGGGGAGCAAAAGG
RNAcentral lists this ribosomal RNA (255 nucleotides) under uncultured bacterium. RNAcentral describes it as "partial 16S ribosomal RNA". It matches the Rfam family "Bacterial small subunit ribosomal RNA", at positions 524 to 775 of the family's 1533-position model. The record is from RNAcentral.